RNAcentral lists this ribosomal RNA (253 nucleotides) under uncultured bacterium. RNAcentral describes it as "partial 16S ribosomal RNA". It matches the Rfam family "Bacterial small subunit ribosomal RNA", at positions 524 to 776 of the family's 1533-position model. The record is from RNAcentral.
UACGUAGGUGGCGAGCGUUGUCCGGAUUUACUGGGCGUAAAGAGCGCGCAGGCGGUCGUAUAAGUCGCGUGUGAAAGCCCCCGGCUCAACUGGGGAGGGUCACGCGAUACUGUUCGACUUGAAGGCAGGAGAGGGAAGCGGAAUUCCCGGUGUAGUGGUGAAAUGCGUAGAUAUCGGGAGGAACACCAGUGGCGAAGGCGGCUUCCUGGCCUGUUCUUGACGCUGAGGCGCGAAAGCUGGGGGAGCAAACGGG